UACGGGGGGGGCAAGCGUUGUUCGGAAUUACUGGGCGUAAAGGGCUCGUAGGCGGCCAACUAAGUCAGACGUGAAAUCCCCAGGCUUAACCUGGGAACUGCGUCUGAUACUGGAUGGCUUGAGAUUGGGAGAGGGAUGCGGAAUUCCAGGUGUAGCGGUGAAAUGCGUAGAUAUCUGGAGGAACACCGGUGGCGAAGGCGGCAUCCUGGACCGGUAUUGACGCUGAGGCGCGAAAGCCAGGGGAGCAAACGGG
RNAcentral lists this ribosomal RNA (253 nucleotides) under uncultured bacterium. RNAcentral describes it as "partial 16S ribosomal RNA". It matches the Rfam family "Bacterial small subunit ribosomal RNA", at positions 524 to 776 of the family's 1533-position model. The record is from RNAcentral.